RNAcentral lists this non-coding RNA (27 nucleotides) under Homo sapiens (human). Lineage: Eukaryota; Metazoa; Chordata; Mammalia; Primates; Hominidae. The record is from RNAcentral.
UUGAGUGAGAAUCAGUGGUGACCUGAC